GGGCGGUUAGCUCAGCUGGCAGAGCGCUUCGUUUACACCGAAGAUGUCGGCGGUUCGAUCCCGUCACCGCCCACCA
This 76-nucleotide transfer RNA is filed under the name Bradyrhizobium sp. LHD-71. RNAcentral describes it as "tRNA-Val". It matches the Rfam family "tRNA". Rfam says of the family: Transfer RNA (tRNA) molecules are approximately 80 nucleotides in length. Lineage: Bacteria; Pseudomonadati; Pseudomonadota; Alphaproteobacteria; Hyphomicrobiales; Nitrobacteraceae. The record is from RNAcentral.